This 1075-nucleotide long non-coding RNA is filed under the name Anas platyrhynchos (mallard). RNAcentral describes it as "lncRNA (ENSAPLG00020007228.1)". Lineage: Eukaryota; Metazoa; Chordata; Aves; Anseriformes; Anatidae. The record is from RNAcentral.
CUUUUUUCAGCAGCUACUGAAUGUACAUAAUCAUAGAAAACUAGUAAAAGUACAUACUCUGCUUUUUUCACAUACAGCAGACCACCAUAAGAUAUCAUUGUCCCAGAAAAUGCAUACUUGAUAAAAGUGCAUUCAAGUUAGGUACCUCAGACUGAAUUCCUAUUACCUAUUUUGCAAGCUUUUAAUCUUAUCUAAUUUCUUUUCUCACCCAACAGAGGUGUCAGAUACCAGCAAGGGGAAGGAAUAAAAUGAAGUACAUGAGGUAAGCCAAAGAAAAUGAGCAGUGAAACUCAGCUGCAAUGUGAUGGCACCGGUCUGAGAUGCUGUUUAUAACAACAGCAUCCAAAGGAAAACUAGAAAGCAGUGGGAUAUUUAAGUUUAAGCCAACAUCUCUUCAGUGGAAAGCAGUACCCACCAAUGCUCUCUGUGUCUGAUACCCCUUCCUCCACAUCUUCCUCUUGUUCCUCUGCAGGUGGUGACUCCUUUGGAAGACUAGUUCUGCUUUCUUCUGCAAAGGAAAAUUGGGAUCAUUGUCUCUUGGUAAUUCAACAAACUGACUUAGAAUGCUGUACCAGAUCCACAUGAGUUCUACCGCCUUGCUUUCUGACAACUCACUCAGGAGUGAAUUCAGGUUUUCUUUGAUUCAGUGACCAGUGCGACAAACUGUGAACUUAGGCAAUUUAAGGGAAAAUGAAAUUUUGCUGUUCUCUUGGCUACGUUCUCAAAAGCCGUAGAUCGCCUCAGAAUGGAGAAAUACGUUCAUUCAGAGCGAGAAAAGAAGGGGACGGGAGAGAUCUGCUUAGAGCCAGGCUGUUGUUGUGGAUAUUCAAAGCAUUUUCCUACGCAAUGGGAGAAAUCAAACCAAACGCUGAUGUCCACCCCGGCGACUAACCCAGCCCUUUGCAGUGAUCACGAGUCUAUUAGAGCCUGCCCCUGCGAAUAAAGGUUAGUUACUGGUUUCCUAUUAAAGGAAAACACGGAGCGAGCGGUAUCACCGCGGCUACUCAUUAACUAGGGCACAGCCAUAAAAACGAGCUGCAGCGGGCAGUAAAACUAACUGCCCCUUCACACCCAG